AUACGGAGGAUGCAAGCGUUAUCCGGAUUUAUUGGGUUUAAAGGGUGCGUAGGCGGUUUGCUAAGCGGGAGGUGAAAUGCCGGCGCUCAACGUCGGAAGUGCCUCCCGAACUGGUGGACUGGAAUGACUCUGCCGUGGGAGGAAUGUGUAGUGUAGCGGUGAAAUGCUUAGAGAUUACACAGAACACCGAUUGCGAAGGCAUCUCACGAAGGGUUGAUUGACGCUGAGGCACGAAAGCGUGGGGAUCAAACAGGAUUAGAUACCCUGGUAGUCCACGCAGUAAACGAUGAUGGCUAACCGCUGGUUUAUUCGGAUCAGUGGCCAAGCGAAAGCGAUAAGCCAUCCACCUGGGGAGUACGACCGCAAGGUUGAAACUCAAAGGAAUUGACGGGG
Molecule: ribosomal RNA, 393 nt
Filed under: uncultured bacterium
Lineage: Bacteria
Description: partial 16S ribosomal RNA
Rfam family: Bacterial small subunit ribosomal RNA
Source: RNAcentral